CCUACGGGUGACAGCAGUCGAGAAUCAUUCACAAUGGGGGAAACCCUGAUGGGGCGACGCCGCGUGGGGGAAGGAAGGUCUCCGGAUGGUAAACCCCUGUAAUGGGGGAGCAAAGUAAAAAGAGAGAACCACAAGAGGAAGAGACGGCUAACUCAGGGACAGCAGCCGCGGUAAGACAGAGUUCGCAAGCGUUGAUCGGAAUCACUGGGCGUAAAGGGGGCGUAGGCUGUUUCGUAAGUCGUGUGUGAAAGGCGCGGGCUCAACCCGCGGACGGCCCUUGAAACUGGGAGCCUAGAGUAAUGCAGGGGGUACCGGACUUCUCGGUGUAGCCGUGAAAUCCGUAGAUCUCUGGAGGAACACUCGUGGCGAAGGCGGGUUCCUGGACCUUACCUGACGCUGAGGCACG
RNAcentral lists this ribosomal RNA (406 nucleotides) under uncultured bacterium. RNAcentral's name for it is "partial 16S ribosomal RNA". It matches the Rfam family "Bacterial small subunit ribosomal RNA", at positions 338 to 755 of the family's 1533-position model. The record is from RNAcentral.